Molecule: ribosomal RNA, 453 nt
Filed under: Listeria monocytogenes
Lineage: Bacteria; Bacillati; Bacillota; Bacilli; Caryophanales; Listeriaceae
Description: bacterial SSU rRNA
Rfam family: Bacterial small subunit ribosomal RNA
Source: RNAcentral
CCGACCUGAGAGGGUGAUCGGCCACACUGGGACUGAGACACGGCCCAGACUCCUACGGGAGGCAGCAGUAGGGAAUCUUCCGCAAUGGACGAAAGUCUGACGGAGCAACGCCGCGUGUAUGAAGAAGGUUUUCGGAUCGUAAAGUACUGUUGUUAGAGAAGAACAAGGAUAAGAGUAACUGCUUGUCCCUUGACGGUAUCUAACCAGAAAGCCACGGCUAACUACGUGCCAGCAGCCGCGGUAAUACGUAGGUGGCAAGCGUUGUCCGGAUUUAUUGGGCGUAAAGCGCGCGCAGGCGGUCUUUUAAGUCUGAUGUGAAAGCCCCCGGCUUAACCGGGGAGGGUCAUUGGAAACUGGAAGACUGGAGUGCAGAAGAGGAGAGUGGAAUUCCACGUGUAGCGGUGAAAUGCGUAGAUAUGUGGAGGAACACCAGUGGCGAAGGCGACUCUCUGG